AAUCCUUGCUGAAUGUAAACUCAAACACUUACAGCAGGGGAUAGGCAGACGUACGGUGGCCCUGAAGGUUCAUUUUGCCCUGUACAGUCCGGCUGCAAACGUGUUCACCAGCGUCACGCUCAACAUCAAACAGAAUCCCUUUGGGGUCCUGCUGCCCUCGGCCAAUGUCCAGUCUGUGACUGUGUUUCCUACGGCCUCUCAGUGGGACUAUGUUGUUUUGACUUGUAAGAUGCUUUUCCUGGUCCUGCUAUUCCAGCGACUGUGCCAUCAGAUUUUGGUUAUUAGUGAAAAAGGACUGAUACGAUUCUGCAGAUCCCACGGAACUGGCUGGAAGUGAGUCACAAAUGCAUCAAUUCAUUUAGAAGUGUUCAAAAUAUUAUAACACUAACCACAUUGUGCCUCUUAACAGGCUGCUCUGUCAUUAGUGGCCACAGUCUACUACAUUUACACCAUUUAUCGAUCGGUCCUGGUCAGCGAUGUGCCGAGACGCUGCAAAGGCAAAACUACAAGACACAUAUUGAUUUCACUUCAUUAGCUGCAUGGGAUCAGAGUAUACAAAGCCUUACCGGCACAUUGCUCUUCCUUCUCACCUUGAGGUGCAUGAGUUUAAUCAGAAAGACAGCUCUCCCGCCUCGCUCAAUCUGCAGCAUCUCCUGGAGUUUGCUUGCAGGUCUUAUUGGUGCUGGAUAUUAUUUCCACUUCCAAAACUCGAGGGUCAAACACGGAGCCAAACCAAUCAAUUCAACGAGAAACGUGCUUCAUCAUGGCAUGACCUUCGUGCUGAUCAGACUACUGUGGACAGCCUUGGUUAUGAAUGUUGUGUCCUCAUCUGCGAAAUGCAUAUGGAGAGGGAGGGCUAUGUUCACCACCACUGACUUUGUACAAUAUGUAAAAGAUAGGCUGUUUUGGAGAUGGGCCCGAUCAGUGCACACGGCCAUAACAUGGAGAGAAAAACGUAUUACUUUGAGCAGUUUGAAAGUGUAUUAG
This 987-nucleotide long non-coding RNA is filed under the name Neogobius melanostomus (round goby). RNAcentral's name for it is "lncRNA (ENSNMLG00000023750.1)". The record is from RNAcentral. Lineage: Eukaryota; Metazoa; Chordata; Actinopteri; Gobiiformes; Gobiidae.